GUGGGGAAUAUUCCGCAAUGGGCGAAAGCCUGACGGAGCAAUACCGCGUGAGGGAGGAAGGCUCUUGGGUUGUAAACCUCUUUUCUCAGGGAAGAAGAAAUGACGGUACCUGAGGAAUAAGCAUCGGCUAACUCCGUGCCAGCAGCCGCGGUAAUACGGAGGAUGCAAGCGUUAUCCGGAAUGAUUGGGCGUAAAGCGUCCGCAGGUGGCACUUCAAGUCUGCUGUCAAAGACUGGGGCUCAACUCCAGAAAGGCGGUGGAAACUGAAGAGCUAGAGAGCGGUAGGGGUAGAGGGAAUUCCCGGUGUAGCGGUGAAAUGCGUAGAGAUCGGGAAGAACACCAGUGGCGAAAGCGCUCUACUAGGCCGCAACUGACACUGAGGGACGAAAGCUAGGGGAGCGAAUGGGAUUAGAAACCCCUGUAGUCC
RNAcentral lists this ribosomal RNA (427 nucleotides) under uncultured bacterium. RNAcentral describes it as "bacterial SSU rRNA". It matches the Rfam family "Bacterial small subunit ribosomal RNA", at positions 354 to 796 of the family's 1533-position model. The record is from RNAcentral.